UAAUACGGAGGGCGCAAGCGUUGUUCGGAAUCAUUGGGCGUAAAGCGCGUGUAGGCGGCUUGGCAAGUCGGACGUGAAAGCCCGGGGCUCAACCCCGGAAUUGCGUUCGAAACUGCUUGGCUAGAGUCCCGGAGAGGAGGGCGGAAUUCCCGGUGUAGAGGUGAAAUUCGUAGAUAUCGGGAGGAACACCAGCGGCGAAGGCGGCCCUCUGGACGGUGACUGACGCUGAGACGCGAAAGCGUGGGGAGCAAACAGGAUUAGAUACCCUGGUAGUCCACGCCGUAAACGUUGGGUGCUAGGUGUCGCGGGUAUUGACCCUUGCGGUGCCGUCGUUAACGCAGUUAGCACCCCGCCUGGGGAGUACGGUCGCAAGGCUA
RNAcentral lists this ribosomal RNA (377 nucleotides) under uncultured delta proteobacterium. Its description in RNAcentral is "bacterial SSU rRNA". It matches the Rfam family "Bacterial small subunit ribosomal RNA", at positions 521 to 896 of the family's 1533-position model. The record is from RNAcentral. Lineage: Bacteria; Deltaproteobacteria.